CAGCAGCCGCGGUAAUACGUAGGGUGCGAGCGUUAAUCGGAAUUACUGGGCGUAAAGCGUGCGCAGGCGGUUUUGUAAGACAGAUGUGAAAUCCCCGGGCUUAACCUGGGAACUGCAUUUGUGACUGCAWGGCUAGAGUAUGGCAGAGGGGGGURGAAUUCCACGUGUAGCAGUGAAAUGCGUAGAKAUGUGGAGGAAYACCGAUGGCGAAGGCAGCCYCCUGGGCCAAUACUGACGCUCAUGCACGAAAGCGUGGGGAGCAAACAGGAUUAGAUACCCUGGUAGUCCACGCCCUAAACGAUGUCAACUAGUUGUUGGGGAUUCAYUUCCUUAGUAACGUAGCUAACGCGUGAAGUUGACCGCCUGGGGAGUACGGUCGCAAGAUUAAAACUCAAAGGAAUUGAC
RNAcentral lists this ribosomal RNA (405 nucleotides) under uncultured Burkholderia sp. RNAcentral's name for it is "bacterial SSU rRNA". It matches the Rfam family "Bacterial small subunit ribosomal RNA", at positions 509 to 914 of the family's 1533-position model. Lineage: Bacteria; Pseudomonadati; Pseudomonadota; Betaproteobacteria; Burkholderiales; Burkholderiaceae. The record is from RNAcentral.